RNAcentral lists this small nucleolar RNA (133 nucleotides) under Sorex araneus (European shrew). Its description in RNAcentral is "U8 small nucleolar RNA (ENSSARG00000019905.1)". Lineage: Eukaryota; Metazoa; Chordata; Mammalia; Eulipotyphla; Soricidae. The record is from RNAcentral.
ACUACAUUUUGGCUGUGCCCGUAAUGCACUUGGCCAUCUUGAGCAAAUACUCAGAGAAUUUCCAGUGUGAUUCAUGAGUGAUUGAUGUCUCUGUGUGACUAGGGCUUGCAACAUCCUAAUGCUCCUAUCUGAU